Molecule: ribosomal RNA, 497 nt
Filed under: uncultured bacterium
Lineage: Bacteria
Description: partial 16S ribosomal RNA
Rfam family: Bacterial small subunit ribosomal RNA
Source: RNAcentral
GAUGAACGCUGGCGGCGUGCUUAACACAUGCAAGUCGAACGAAGCAUUUGCGACAGAUUUCUUCGGAUUGAAGUUGCUUAUGGCUGAGUGGCGGACGGGUGAGUAACGCGUGGGUAACCUGCCUCACACAGGGGGAUAGCAGUUGGAAACGGCUGAUAAUACCGCAUAAGCGCACAGUACCGCAUGGUACAGUGUGAAAAACUCCGGUGGUGUGAGAUGGACCCGCGUCUGAUUAGCUAGUUGGUGAGGUAACGGCUCACCAAGGCGACGAUCAGUAGCCGACCUGAGAGGGUGACCGGCCACAUUGGGACUGAGACACGGCCCAGACUCCUACGGGAGGCAGCAGUGGGGAAUAUUGCACAAUGGGGGAAACUCUGAUGCAGCGACGCCGCGUGAGUGAAGAAGUAAUUCGUUAUGUAAAGCUCUAUCAGCAGGGAAGAUAGUGACGGUACCUGACUAAGAAGCUCCGGCUAAAUACGUGCCAGCCGCCGCAGUAA